Non-coding RNA from Rattus norvegicus (Norway rat), 360 nucleotides. Lineage: Eukaryota; Metazoa; Chordata; Mammalia; Rodentia; Muridae. The record is from RefSeq and is a predicted model, not a curated record.
AUUCAGGCUGUUUCUUGCCACCUCUUUGGUUUAAUGGAGCUCCAUGUUUUCUUCUGAUUUGGGCCACUGCUCCUUAAUCACAUUUGGUGUUCUGCAAGUGGACUGGACGCUGACAGUGAACGUUGGAAUUGCCUAGAGGAACUAUUUCUAAACAGAACCCACAGGAGAGCACAGUCCUUGGAAAUGGAGUUGAGAAUGGUUGUGAACCACCACGUGUGUGCUGGGCACUAAUUCUAUGUCUUCUGCAAGAACAACUGAUCCUCUUAACCACAGAGCCAUUCCUCUGUCCCUGAAACUAUGUGUUCUAGCAUGAUAUAUUUUUUCAUCUUGUUAAUAAAUGUCAUGGUUUCACAUUGUUUA